RNAcentral lists this ribosomal RNA (817 nucleotides) under Bacillus subtilis. RNAcentral's name for it is "bacterial SSU rRNA". It matches the Rfam family "Bacterial small subunit ribosomal RNA", at positions 89 to 885 of the family's 1533-position model. Lineage: Bacteria; Bacillati; Bacillota; Bacilli; Caryophanales; Bacillaceae. The record is from RNAcentral.
AUGUUAGCGGCGGACGGGUGCACUUAUACACGUGGGUAACCUGCCUGUAAGACUGGGAUAACUCCGGGAAACCGGGGCUAAUACCGGAUGGUUGUUUGAACCGCAUGGUUCAAACAUAAAAGGUGGCUUCGGCUACCACUUACAGAUGGACCCGCGGCGCAUUAGCUAGUUGGUGAGGUAACGGCUCACCAAGGCAACGAUGCGUAGCCGACCUGAGAGGGUGAUCGGCCACACUGGGACUGAGACACGGCCCAGACUCCUACGGGAGGCAGCAGUAGGGAAUCUUCCGCAAUGGACGAAAGUCUGACGGAGCAACGCCGCGUGAGUGAUGAAGGUUUUCGGAUCGUAAAGCUCUGUUGUUAGGGAAGAACAAGUACCGUUCGAAUAGGGCGGUACCUUGACGGUACCUAACCAGAAAGCCACGGCUAACUACGUGCCAGCAGCCGCGGUAAUACGUAGGUGGCAAGCGUUGUCCGGAAUUAUUGGGCGUAAAGGGCUCGCAGGCGGUUUCUUAAGUCUGAUGUGAAAGCCCCCGGCUCAACCGGGGAGGGUCAUUGGAAACUGGGGAACUUGAGUGCAGAAGAGGAGAGUGGAAUUCCACGUGUAGCGGUGAAAUGCGUAGAGAUGUGGAGGAACACCAGUGGCGAAAGGCGACUCUCUGGUCUGUAACUGACGCUGAGGAGCGAAAGCGUGGGGAGCGAACAGGAUUAGAUACCCUGGUAGUCCACGCCGUAAACGAUGAGUGCUAAGUGUUAGGGGGUUUCCGCCCCUUAGUGCUGCAGCUAACGCAUUAAGCACUCCGCCUGGAGGAGUACGG